GCUGAUCGAACAUCACCGUGGCUUUGACUGUCACUGUGGUUAAGCUGGGCUGCCAGGGCCAGGUGGGACCUCAGUUCAGUGCUCACUCUCCAGACUGUGGAGGUCAAACGCAGGCCCUGACAUGC
This is a small nucleolar RNA of Sorex araneus (European shrew), 125 nucleotides long. Lineage: Eukaryota; Metazoa; Chordata; Mammalia; Eulipotyphla; Soricidae. The record is from Ensembl.